UCAGGAUGAACGCUAGCGGCAGGCCUAAUACAUGCAAGUCGGACGGGAUCCAUCGGUAGCUUGCUACCGAUGGUGAGAGUGGCGCACGGGUGCGUAACGCGUGAGCAACCUGCCCAUAUCAGGGGGAUAGCCCGGAGAAAUCCGGAUUAACACCGCAUGACACUGCUUUCCGGCAUCGGGAGGUAGUCAAAUAUUCAUAGGAUAUGGAUGGGCUCGCGUGACAUUAGCUAGUUGGUGGGGUAACGGCCCACCAAGGCGACGAUGUCUAGGGGCUCUGAGAGGAGAAUCCCCCACACUGGUACUGAGACACGGACCAGACUCCUACGGGAGGCAGCAGUAAGGAAUAUUGGUCAAUGGGGGCAACCCUGAACCAGCCAUGCCGCGUGCAGGACGACUGCCCUAUGGGUUGUAAACUGCUUUUGUUAGGGAAUAAACCCCGCUACGUGUAGCGGGCUGAAUGUACCUAAAGAAUAAGGAUCGGCUAACUCCGUGCCAGCAGCCGCGGUAAUACGGAGGAUCCGAGCGUUACGGAUUUAUUGGGUUUAAAGGGUGCGUAGGCGGCACUUUAAGUCAGGGGUGAAAGACGGCAGCUCAACUGUCGCAGUGCCCUUGAUACUGAAGUGCUUGAAUGCGGUUGAAGACGGCGGAAUGAGACAAGUAGCGGUGAAAUGCAUAGAUAUGUCUCAGAACACCGAUUGCGAAGGCAGCU
Molecule: ribosomal RNA, 709 nt
Filed under: Flavobacterium sp.
Lineage: Bacteria; Pseudomonadati; Bacteroidota; Flavobacteriia; Flavobacteriales; Flavobacteriaceae
Description: bacterial SSU rRNA
Rfam family: Bacterial small subunit ribosomal RNA
Source: RNAcentral